GUAGACAGUAAAAGCUCCUGGAACUUUUGAAUUUCCUGUUUGGUCACCAUCAGCACAGUCCAACAUCACAGGCGACCACGCAGUCCCGGAUUCGCAGACGAACUCCAGCAUGGUCCAAAUGGGAGGUACUGGAUCUCAUUGCAUGUUGGGGAGAUGAAUCUGUUAUGGCAGAACUACGU
Dermochelys coriacea (leatherback sea turtle) is the source of this 179-nucleotide long non-coding RNA. RefSeq lists it as uncharacterized. NCBI's taxonomy places the organism in Eukaryota, Metazoa, Chordata, Testudines, Dermochelyidae. The record is from RefSeq and is a predicted model, not a curated record. The transcript has 2 exons.